This 1279-nucleotide long non-coding RNA is filed under the name Marmota monax (woodchuck). The record is from RNAcentral. Lineage: Eukaryota; Metazoa; Chordata; Mammalia; Rodentia; Sciuridae.
CCGUGUUCCACAUCCGUGUUCUCUCCCCCAGGACCUCUGCUCAGCCACCAGGCGAGGGGCGUGGAUUCUUUAUUGACCAGAUUCUGUGUGUCCUCUGUCGGUAAAGCCGGGGCCAGGGUCCUCGGCCACGUUUCCGGGGUGAGACAGAGCUGUCCCCUGAGGGGAGGGCUCUCGGGACUGUGGCCCCCCCCCCCCCAGGAGCAGAGAUUCUGGAUUAGUCCGGGAUAGUGUGUCCCCGGAGGCCCUUCUCCUGGGCCUACGUCCAGUUUUGUGUUUCCUCCAAGUCUGGCCCUGGACAGGCCCUGGACAGGCUCUGGGGCAGAGCGAUGAGCAAGACAGACCCAGAUCUACCCCCGGUGGAGCCAUAGACAGGUGGGGGACGGCUGUCCGUCACAUCGUCAGUCAGGCACUGUCGAGUGUCACCCAGGUGCCAGGUGCAGUGUCGCACACCUGUGAUCCCCGGGACUUGGGAGGAGUCAAGUUCAAGGCCAGCCACAGCAGUUUAGUGGGACCCUGUCUCAAAAAAUAAAAAGGGCUGAGGAUGUGGCUCAGCUGUAAAGCACCCCUGGUCCUGGGUCCAAUCCCCAGAACAAAAGAAAGGAGUGGGGUGGGGGUGGGGAGAAAGUCUCAGUGUGUCACUUGUAGGGCAGCCCAAAUACAUAGUGCAUCAUAAGCGUUGCUGAGUUGCUGAGCAGGGCAUAGAGAAACGCAUGGGGUUUUAAGUAGGGAUGACAGGUAACCUGGUGUAGAUGGAUGACUUAGUGAUAUUAGAACCCCAGAAAUUUGAAGGGUGAGCGCAGUGACAUGGAAGGGGAGGGAAAGCAAGACAGCAUGUGCAAAGGCCCUGGGGAAGGAUGGCUCAGGGCAUGUGCAAAGGCCCUGGGGAAGGAUGGCUCAGGGCAUGUGCAAAGGCCCUGGGGAAGGAUGGCUCAGGGCAUGUGCAAAGGCCCUGGGGAAGGAUGGCUCAGGGCCUGCUUGAGGAACCAAGGAGGCAGGUGUGGCUGGAGCAGAGUAAGAAUGGGGGGAGCAGCUCAAGAGGGGGAAGGGCAAGUGGAGCUGGAGGACCCUGGAGUUUAUUCUAGAGCCAUGAGCAGCUAUGGAAGGUGUGAGCAGGAGGCCAGCAUGGCUGCCUCCCUGGAGCACCAGGCCAGACCCCCUCCCAGCUCUCUUCCUCGGGUCCUUCCUGCCCACUGUGGUCUUUCCAAAAUACCUCUUACCCCCUCUCCUCAGCCAGGGGCUUCAUGUGGACCCACACUCUAGUGACUUGGGAGGCCGAGGC